UACAGAGGUGCCAAGCGUUAGGCGGAGUCACUGGGCUUAAAGCGCGUGUAGGUGGGUCGUUAAGUGUCCGCGUGAAAUCCCACGGCUCAACCGUGGAACUGCCGGGCAUACUGGCGAUCUUGAGGCAUUCAGGGGCGAGCGGAACAAAUGGUGGAGCGGUGAAAUGCGUAGAUAUCAUUUGGAACGCCAAUGGUGAAAACAGCUCGCUGGGAAUGAUCUGACACUGAGACGCGAAAGCCAGGGGAGCGAACGGG
RNAcentral lists this ribosomal RNA (254 nucleotides) under uncultured bacterium. RNAcentral's name for it is "partial 16S ribosomal RNA". It matches the Rfam family "Bacterial small subunit ribosomal RNA", at positions 524 to 776 of the family's 1533-position model. The record is from RNAcentral.